UACAGAGGGUGCAAACGUUGUUCGGAUUUACUGGGCGUAAAGCGCGUGUAGGCUGCUUCGCAAGUCGGAUGUGAAAGCCCUGGGCUCAACCCAGGAAGUGCAUUCGAAACUGCAGAGCUGGAGUCCUGGAGAGGAAGGCGGAAUUCUCGGUGUAGAGGUGAAAUUCGUAGAUAUCGGGAGGAACACCAGUGGCGAAGGCGGCCUUCUGGACGAACACUGACGCUGAGACGCGAAAGCGUGGGUAGCAAACAGG
This 253-nucleotide ribosomal RNA is filed under the name uncultured bacterium. RNAcentral's name for it is "partial 16S ribosomal RNA". It matches the Rfam family "Bacterial small subunit ribosomal RNA", at positions 524 to 776 of the family's 1533-position model. The record is from RNAcentral.